GCGCGAAAACUUCGCAAUGGGGGAAACCCCGACGAGGGAACUCCAAGUGCCGGCACUACGUGUCGGCUGUUUGCAAGCCUAAAAAGCUCGUAGAGUAAGGGCUGGGUAAGACGGGUGCCAGCCGCCGCGGUAAUACCUGCAGCCCGAGUGGUGGCCGUUAUUAUUGGGCCUAAAGCGUCCGUAGCCGGCUUGGUAGAUGCCUGUGUAAAUCGAACGGCUUAACCGUUCGAAUUGCGGGUAGACCGCCAGGCUUGGGACCGGGAGAGCCUCGAGGUACUCCAGGGGUAGAGGUGAAAUUCUGUAAUCCUUGGGGGACCACCGGUGGCGAAGGCGUCGAGGUUGAACGGCUCCGACGGUGAGGGACGAAGCCCUGGGGCGCAAACCGG
RNAcentral lists this ribosomal RNA (386 nucleotides) under uncultured bacterium. RNAcentral describes it as "bacterial SSU rRNA". It matches the Rfam family "Archaeal small subunit ribosomal RNA", at positions 339 to 727 of the family's 1478-position model. The record is from RNAcentral.